CCUACGGGAGGCAGCAGUGAGGAAUAUUGGGCAAUGGACGCAAGCCUGACCCAGCAACGCCGCGUGAAGGAAGAAGGCUCUCUGUUUUGAAACUUCUUUUUUCAGGGACGAAACAAGUGACGGUACCUGAUGAAUAAGCCUCUCCUAAGUACGAGCCAGCAGCCGCGGUAAUACGGCGGCCGCAAGCGUUAUGCGGAUUUACGGGGUGUAAAGGGCGUGUAGGCGGGAGGGCAAGUUAGAUGUGAAAACUAGGGGCUCAACCCAUAGCUUGCAUUUGAAACUGUACUUCUUGAGUGCUGGAGAGGUAAGCGGAAUGGCGUGUGUAGCGGUGAAAUGCGUAGAUAUCAGGAGGAACACCGGUGGCGAAGGCGGAUUGCCGGGCAGUAACUGACGCUGAGGCGCGAAAGCGUGGGGAGCAAACAGGAUUAGAUACCCGAGUAGUC
Molecule: ribosomal RNA, 443 nt
Filed under: uncultured bacterium
Lineage: Bacteria
Description: partial 16S ribosomal RNA
Rfam family: Bacterial small subunit ribosomal RNA
Source: RNAcentral